CCUACGGGUGGCAGCAGGGAGGAAUAUUGGUCAAUGGACGCAAGUCUGAACCAGCCAUGCCGCGUGCAGGAAGACGGCUCUAUGAGUGGUAAACUGCUUUUGUACGAGGGUAAACGCAGAUACGCGUAUCUGUCUGAAAGUAUCGUACGAAUAAGGAUCGGCUAACUCCGUGCCAGCAGCCGCGGUAAUACGGAGGGUUCAAGCGUUAUCCGGAUUUAUUGGGUUUAAAGGAUGGGUAGGCGGUCGGCUAAGUUAGAUGUGAAAUCCCGGGGCUCAACUUCGGAAUUGCCUCUGAUACUGGUCGGCUAGAGUGUAGUUGCGGUAGGCGGAAUGUGUGGUGUAGCGGUGAAAUGCUUAGAGAUCAUGCAGAACACCGAUUGCGAAGGCAGCUUACCAAGCUACUUCUGACGUUGAGGCACGAAAGCGUGGGGAGCAAACAGGAUUAGAUACCCUAGUAGUC
Molecule: ribosomal RNA, 460 nt
Filed under: uncultured bacterium
Lineage: Bacteria
Description: partial 16S ribosomal RNA
Rfam family: Bacterial small subunit ribosomal RNA
Source: RNAcentral